Homo sapiens (human) is the source of this 2484-nucleotide RNA transcript. It is a transcript of the gene named butyrylcholinesterase, with no coding region annotated. The record is from RefSeq and is marked reviewed. Lineage: Eukaryota; Metazoa; Chordata; Mammalia; Primates; Hominidae. The transcript has 5 exons.
AGUGCAGUCCAAUUUACAGGCUGGAGCAGCAGCUGCAUCCUGCAUUUCCCCGAAGUAUUACAUGAUUUUCACUCCUUGCAAACUUUGCCAUCUUUGUUGCAGAGAAUCGGAAAUCAAUAUGCAUAGCAAAGUCACAAUCAUAUGCAUCAGAUUUCUCUUUUGGUUUCUUUUGCUCUGCAUGCUUAUUGGGAAGUCACAUACUGAAGAUGACAUCAUAAUUGCAACAAAGAAUGGAAAAGUCAGAGGGAUGAACUUGACAGUUUUUGGUGGCACGGUAACAGCCUUUCUUGGAAUUCCCUAUGCACAGCCACCUCUUGGUAGACUUCGAUUCAAAAAGCCACAGUCUCUGACCAAGUGGUCUGAUAUUUGGAAUGCCACAAAAUAUGCAAAUUCUUGCUGUCAGAACAUAGAUCAAAGUUUUCCAGGCUUCCAUGGAUCAGAGAUGUGGAACCCAAACACUGACCUCAGUGAAGACUGUUUAUAUCUAAAUGUAUGGAUUCCAGCACCUAAACCAAAAAAUGCCACUGUAUUGAUAUGGAUUUAUGGUGGUGGUUUUCAAACUGGAACAUCAUCUUUACAUGUUUAUGAUGGCAAGUUUCUGGCUCGGGUUGAAAGAGUUAUUGUAGUGUCAAUGAACUAUAGGGUGGGUGCCCUAGGAUUCUUAGCUUUGCCAGGAAAUCCUGAGGCUCCAGGGAACAUGGGUUUAUUUGAUCAACAGUUGGCUCUUCAGUGGGUUCAAAAAAAUAUAGCAGCCUUUGGUGGAAAUCCUAAAAGUGUAACUCUCUUUGGAGAAAGUGCAGGAGCAGCUUCAGUUAGCCUGCAUUUGCUUUCUCCUGGAAGCCAUUCAUUGUUCACCAGAGCCAUUCUGCAAAGUGGAUCCUUUAAUGCUCCUUGGGCGGUAACAUCUCUUUAUGAAGCUAGGAACAGAACGUUGAACUUAGCUAAAUUGACUGGUUGCUCUAGAGAGAAUGAGACUGAAAUAAUCAAGUGUCUUAGAAAUAAAGAUCCCCAAGAAAUUCUUCUGAAUGAAGCAUUUGUUGUCCCCUAUGGGACUCCUUUGUCAGUAAACUUUGGUCCGACCGUGGAUGGUGAUUUUCUCACUGACAUGCCAGACAUAUUACUUGAACUUGGACAAUUUAAAAAAACCCAGAUUUUGGUGGGUGUUAAUAAAGAUGAAGGGACAGCUUUUUUAGUCUAUGGUGCUCCUGGCUUCAGCAAAGAUAACAAUAGUAUCAUAACUAGAAAAGAAUUUCAGGAAGGUUUAAAAAUAUUUUUUCCAGGAGUGAGUGAGUUUGGAAAGGAAUCCAUCCUUUUUCAUUACACAGACUGGGUAGAUGAUCAGAGACCUGAAAACUACCGUGAGGCCUUGGGUGAUGUUGUUGGGGAUUAUAAUUUCAUAUGCCCUGCCUUGGAGUUCACCAAGAAGUUCUCAGAAUGGGGAAAUAAUGCCUUUUUCUACUAUUUUGAACACCGAUCCUCCAAACUUCCGUGGCCAGAAUGGAUGGGAGUGAUGCAUGGCUAUGAAAUUGAAUUUGUCUUUGGUUUACCUCUGGAAAGAAGAGAUAAUUACACAAAAGCCGAGGAAAUUUUGAGUAGAUCCAUAGUGAAACGGUGGGCAAAUUUUGCAAAAUAUGGGAAUCCAAAUGAGACUCAGAACAAUAGCACAAGCUGGCCUGUCUUCAAAAGCACUGAACAAAAAUAUCUAACCUUGAAUACAGAGUCAACAAGAAUAAUGACGAAACUACGUGCUCAACAAUGUCGAUUCUGGACAUCAUUUUUUCCAAAAGUCUUGGAAAUGACAGGCUGAGGAGUAGGAGGAGGGGAAAAGGAGCUGUUGGUCUCGCUGUCUCUGGAUUGACAGAGGUGGAAGAAAAUCCACAUGAAAUAUUGAUGAAGCAGAAUGGGAGUGGAAAGCAGGAUUCCAUCGCUGGAACAAUUACAUGAUGGACUGGAAAAAUCAAUUUAACGAUUACACUAGCAAGAAAGAAAGUUGUGUGGGUCUCUAAUUAAUAGAUUUACCCUUUAUAGAACAUAUUUUCCUUUAGAUCAAGGCAAAAAUAUCAGGAGCUUUUUUACACACCUACUAAAAAAGUUAUUAUGUAGCUGAAACAAAAAUGCCAGAAGGAUAAUAUUGAUUCCUCACAUCUUUAACUUAGUAUUUUACCUAGCAUUUCAAAACCCAAAUGGCUAGAACGUGUUUAAUUAAAUUUCACAAUAUAAAGUUCUACAGUUAAUUAUGUGCAUAUUAAAACAAUGGCCUGGUUCAAUUUCUUUCUUUCCUUAAUAAAUUUAAGUUUUUCCCCCCAAAAUUAUCAGUGCUCUGCUUUUAGUCACGUGUAUUUUCAUUACCACUCGUAAAAAGGUAUCUUUUUUAAAUGAAUUAAAUAUUGAAACACUGUACACCAUAGUUUACAAUAUUAUGUUUCCUAAUUAAAAUAAGAAUUGAAUGUCAAUAUGAGAUAUUAAAAUAAGCACAGAAAAUCA